CCUACGGGAGGCAGCAGUGAGGAAUAUUGGUCAAUGGACGAGAGUCUGAACCAGCCAAGUAGCGUGAAGGAUGACUGCCCUAUGGGUUGUAAACUUCUUUUAUAUGGGAAUAAAAUGUUCCACGUGUGGGAUUUUGUAUGUACCAUAUGAAUAAGGAUCGGCUAACUCCGUGCCAGCAGCCGCGGUAAUACGGAGGAUCCGAGCGUUAUCCGGAUGUAUUGGGGUUAAAGGGAGCGUAGGUGGAUUGUUAAGUCAGUUGUGAAAGUUUGCGGCUCAACCGUAAAAUUGCAGUUGAAACGGGCAGUCUUGAGUACAGUAGAGGUGGGCGGAAUUCGUGGUGUAGCGGUGAAAUGCUUAGAUAUCACGAAGAACUCCGAUUGCGAAGGCAGCUCACUGGACUGCAACUGACACUGAGGCUCGAAAGUGUGGGUAUCAAACAGGAUUAGAUACCCUAGUAGUC
This 460-nucleotide ribosomal RNA is filed under the name uncultured bacterium. RNAcentral's name for it is "partial 16S ribosomal RNA". It matches the Rfam family "Bacterial small subunit ribosomal RNA", at positions 338 to 795 of the family's 1533-position model. The record is from RNAcentral.